AUUGAACGCUGGCGGCAUGCCUUACACAUGCAAGUCGAACGGUAACGGGCCUUCGGGCGCCGACGAGUGGCGGACGGGUGAGUAAUGCAUCGGAACGUACCUUUCAGUGGGGGAUAACGUAGCGAAAGUUACGCUAAUACCGCAUAUUCUGUGAGCAGGAAAGCAGGGGAUCGCAAGACCUUGCGCUGAUUGAGCGGCCGAUGUCAGAUUAGCUAGUUGGUGAGGUAAAGGCUCACCAAGGCGACGAUCUGUAGCGGGUCUGAGAGGAUGAUCCGCCACACUGGAACUGAGACACGGUCCAGACUCCUACGGGAGGCAGCAGUGGGGAAUUUUGGACAAUGGGGGCAACCCUGAUCCAGCCAUGCCGCGUGAGUGAAGAAGGCCUUCGGGUUGUAAAGCUCUUUCGGCCGGGAAGAAAUCGUAUGGGCUAAUACCCUGUGCGGAUGACGGUACCGGCAUAAGAAGCACCGGCUAACUACGUGCCAGCACG
Molecule: ribosomal RNA, 490 nt
Filed under: uncultured bacterium
Lineage: Bacteria
Description: bacterial SSU rRNA
Rfam family: Bacterial small subunit ribosomal RNA
Source: RNAcentral